CGAAGGCUCACUCUCUAAUGGAGCGCCUGAAUCAACUGAGGAUCUCAUCGUUGAAGUCAAGAGACAGUGUUGUCUUCAGGGCAGUUUCAGACUUCAGUUUAUGGAUUCCUUGUUUGGGAAUGAGUUUCUUAACCUUACCUCAGUUUCAGAAGUAGCAGACAAAGGGACUCUUAAAGCUAUUGACAUGUCAAAGCCCACCACAUGGACAUAAAAAAGAGUAACAGAGAUGGUGAAACUGAAGAUGGAAAAGACUUUUUCAUACAGAAGACAUGAAGUUGUUCGUGAUGCACCAAUGGUGGAGGCUUUCAUGGCAAGAUGGCCUGCUCUAUUUGACUUCCAUGAGAUCAACGCUGAGUUUAAGAGAAUUGCCACCAUCCCCCCCUCAAACAAAGUUCCUGGCUCAGCUGGAUCUCCACUUGGGCAACCUGGUGAAGUUGGUCAACAGAAGAGGAGGGCUUGGACUAAUAUCGAAAAGAAUUGCGGCACAAAUGGAUAAUUGUGAAGAUGUUGAUGCUGGACGUGAGUGUGUCAAGGGAGUGUGUAUCUACAUGGGUGAAGACCCUGACAUGCUUAUCCGGGAGUAUGUGGGCAUGGAAGAAUGUGCCAUCAAUGAGACUGUUGAAGACACCACUGUUCGAAUUUAUCUUCUUAAAGAGCAAGCUUCAGCAGAAGAACAAGAGUUGUUCUUGCAGGCAUCAGGGUGGUGAAGAAUUUGGAUAAUAUAGCAUUUGCUGUGAUAAUGCUAUUUGGACUCAUGUAUGCAUUAAACCUUGCCUACCCUGCUGACCUCCGCUACAACUUGGACAUUUUCCAGAAGGUUUUCAUGGAACUGGAUGGAGCUAAACUCUCUAAAGGUCUUGCUUUCAAAAACCAUCUGUUUCAUUGAGAAGUCAAAGACAGCACUUCUGCAAUUCUUUGCAGUUUUUCAUUUUGUGUUCAGUAACGUUAUACUGCUUAUGUUUUUAUUGCUUUCCCCUCAUGUGACUGCAAUGCAGGAAGAUUUUUCCUUUUGGUAUCAUGUUGUAAGAAAUUUUUACUGACGAUUUUUAGCAAUAUGUUCUGAGUCAACCUUAAUGUCCUGCUUAUAUGUUUAAA
Molecule: long non-coding RNA, 1095 nt
Organism: Oreochromis aureus
Lineage: Eukaryota; Metazoa; Chordata; Actinopteri; Cichliformes; Cichlidae
Source: Ensembl